RNAcentral lists this ribosomal RNA (642 nucleotides) under uncultured actinomycete. Its description in RNAcentral is "bacterial SSU rRNA". It matches the Rfam family "Bacterial small subunit ribosomal RNA", at positions 232 to 885 of the family's 1533-position model. Lineage: Bacteria; Bacillati; Actinomycetota; Actinomycetes; Actinomycetales. The record is from RNAcentral.
CGCGGCCUAUCAGCUUGUUGGUGGGGUAACGGCCCACCAAGGCGACGACGGGUAGCUGGCGUGAGAGCGUGGUCAGCCACACUGGGACUGAGACACGGCCCAGACUCCUACGGGAGGCAGCAGUGGGGAAUCUUGCGCAAUGGGCGAAAGCCUGACGCAGCGACGCCGCGUGGGGGACGAAGGCCUUCGGGUUGUAAACCCCUUUCAGCGGGGACGAAGCGAAAGUGACGGUACCUGCAGAAGAAGCCCCGGCUAACUACGUGCCAGCAGCCGCGGUAAGACGUAGGGGGCGAGCGUUGUCCGGAAUUAUUGGGCGUAAAGCGCGCGCAGGCGGCCCGGUAAGUCGGUUGUGAAAACCCGGGGCUCAACCCCGGGCCUGCUGCCGAUACUGCCGGGCUCGAGGCAGGUAGGGGAGAGUGGAAUUCCCGGUGUAGCGGUGAAAUGCGCAGAUAUCGGGAGGAACACCGGUGGCGAAGGCGGCUCUCUGGGCCUGUCCUGACGCUCAGGCGCGAAAGCUGGGGGAGCAAACAGGAUUAGAUACCCUGGUAGUCCCAGCCGUAAACGAUGGGUGCUAGGUGUGGGGAGCAUCAACCCUCUCCGUGCCGGAGCUAACGCAUUAAGCACCCCGCCUGGGGAGUACGG